Harmonia axyridis is the source of this 553-nucleotide long non-coding RNA. RefSeq lists it as uncharacterized. Lineage: Eukaryota; Metazoa; Arthropoda; Insecta; Coleoptera; Coccinellidae. The record is from RefSeq and is a predicted model, not a curated record. The transcript is spliced from 2 exons.
GUUGUCAAAUUUUGACACGUAUCGUUUGAAGGUUGAUACUAACUAAAAAUCAUUUGGAUUUAAUACUAACAUCGCCAUAUGUGCAUCAGACCGGGAACUUUUCAAUUGGCCUAAUAUAAUAAUUACCUACUUCCAAAUUGUGUUCAGUACUUGUUAGUUUCAUCUCAAACCACUAGCUACCCUCAUGAAAAGGAAACUCUUGGAGACCAAUCUAUCAUUUUAUAAUGAAAAAUAUGUUUUGUCGAAGUGAGGAAGAACUAUCUUAGAGGCUUCUAUAGACCUUGGUAUAUUUAUACAUCAUUGCUCCAGCAGUGACAAUAAGUAAGAAGUAAGAAGAAUGCAGUAAGAAGUAUCAUAGAAUUAAUUUAUCGAAUCCGAUUCAAGAUGGUUACCUAUCGAUUCUCAGAGCGGUGGGAGGCAGAUAGAUGUAAAAAGUACUGUUUUCUUUAUUGUCUUGGAUGUGGCAUUGGAGCCAUUGUGUGUAUUACUAUAUUGCUUAUUUGUAUGUGGACUUAAAGAAUGUAAUAGUUAUAUGCCUAAUGGCUGUUUUCUA